CCUAAACCACUACUUACUGCUAUUAUCACUUUCUUAAUUUGAUCUUAAUAUUCUUGGCUUUUGAAGAAGGUUUGAUGGAUGUUGCAUGAAGGUGGAGUUCCGAUGUUUUAUGACUGGCCUUUUGGAUCCCUUUAGACUUAGAUUUCUUCCUUCUCUUCAUUCCAAAUGAAGAAAGCUUCCCCUUCUCCUUCUCCCUUAUCGUCUCCAGCUUGGGUUUCCAUUGGCGUGACCCAACCAGCAACUUGUAGUCCUUCUGUAAUUGAGGAGUGGUGCAUAUUCUGCUCCCUGAACUAUCAUCUUCCUCAGACUCCUUGAUUUUGCUUUGUUCCAUCAGUUGCGAUAUAAACUCAUCGGACACGCGUAUUCUCAGGCAUCCAGAUGGAGAUUUUUGUAUGUCAAAGGGUUGGCAAGUGGCUACCUUCUUUAGAAGCGCAUUUGUUGAGUCUCUGCUGGAGGAGGAAGAAGAAGAUGAUGGUUGGGCCUGGAACUGGGAGGAAGUGUUGACAAAGGAGGCGAUGGUGACAAAUGAUAGAACCGACUGGAAACAAUGUUUAGGGAGGAGAAAGUACUUGUGGCCCAGCUGAAGCUGGUCGUUCUCAGACAGAGCUGGGAUCUUCUGCCCUAUGUAGAAAGAAUCUGAGCGGCACACCAGGUGCUUUGGAUACUCCACCAAUAGCUCUGAGACGUGGAUGGGUCGGUCAUAGAUCUUCACUAGCCCAUCGGAUUUGAUGAGCUUAAUAGUCUCCACCGGUGGGUCAGGGCGGAUAUGCACGCACGAGAUGUGGUUGCUCAAGAGGUGAAAACACCAUGGAAUCAUAUGCAGAUUCAAAAAUUUGAUGCCCA
This 843-nucleotide unclassified non-coding RNA is filed under the name Hevea brasiliensis (rubber tree). Lineage: Eukaryota; Viridiplantae; Streptophyta; Magnoliopsida; Malpighiales; Euphorbiaceae. The record is from RNAcentral.